Molecule: non-coding RNA, 21 nt
Filed under: Caenorhabditis elegans
Lineage: Eukaryota; Metazoa; Nematoda; Chromadorea; Rhabditida; Rhabditidae
Source: RNAcentral
UAUUUCAUAGUCCGUCUAUUA